This is a non-coding RNA of Schistosoma mansoni, 48 nucleotides long. Lineage: Eukaryota; Metazoa; Platyhelminthes; Trematoda; Strigeidida; Schistosomatidae. The record is from Rfam.
AUCUGGCUGACGAGUCCCAAAUAGGACGAAACACGCGUCAAUCUGGAU